CAACAGGAUUCCGUAGUGACCUGCGGAGGAUCAUUACAGUAUUCUUUUUGCCAGCGCUUAAUUGCGCGGCGAAAAAACCUUACACACAGUGUUUUUUGUUAUUACAAGAACUUUUGCUUUGGUCUGGACUAGAAAUAGUUUGGGCCAGAGGUUUACUGAACUAAACUUCAAUAUUUAUAUUGAAUUGUUAUUUAUUUAAUUGUCAAUUUGUUGAUUAAAUUCAAAAAAUCUUCAAAACUUUCAACAACGGAUCUCUUGGUUCUCGCAUCGAUGAAGAACACA
RNAcentral lists this unclassified non-coding RNA (282 nucleotides) under uncultured Debaryomyces. RNAcentral describes it as "sequence contains ITS1, 5.8S rRNA gene and ITS2". The stretch from base 236 to 282 matches the Rfam family "5.8S ribosomal RNA", at positions 1 to 47 of the family's 154-position model. Lineage: Eukaryota; Fungi; Ascomycota; Saccharomycetes; Saccharomycetales; Saccharomycetaceae. The record is from RNAcentral.